RNAcentral lists this long non-coding RNA (1982 nucleotides) under Oncorhynchus mykiss (rainbow trout). Its description in RNAcentral is "lncRNA (ENSOMYG00000056064.1)". The record is from RNAcentral. Lineage: Eukaryota; Metazoa; Chordata; Actinopteri; Salmoniformes; Salmonidae.
UGAUUUAUUUUUUCCUGUUUUGUAUAUGUUUCCAUGUCUAGAUAUUUUAGGUACUACGGAUGAAAAUGAACUAUUCGCUAAAUCUGGUGCGACAUGUUUGGUGCUCUGAGACAGCCUAUGCUUUUGUUGUGCAUUGUCCCUGCCAAACAAACGUAAUAAAAUAAAUAUCAGUCUGUUUCCUUUAGCCCACACAUAUCUACAGUAACUAACCCUCUACUGCACACAUUUUGGUUUUGCCCUUAUGUUCUGAUGACGUGUCCAUCCCCAAGGAGCUGGAGAGAACUCCCCACUACGUAAAAACCCCAUGCUGUUCGAUGCUGCACCUCAGCACUCCGCGCAAAAUUGCAGUGGGUUGGUUGGCUGAAUGAGGGGACACAAGUUGUUUAAUGUGUUCGUCACCGAGCGCUUGCCGGGAGCUGCUGUGGAGAAGAUUAUAGCAGCGUAUCAGCAAGACAUCUGCCGUUCAGCAGAGGAGAUCGAGCGCCUACGGAGGCUGUUGGACAUGGUUUUCCAACCAGAGAUUAAGUGACAUGGAGCAGGUUUGUAGCGAGCUACAGUUGUUAUCACGAAGAUAUUUGAUUUGUAGAUUAACGUUACAAGACUUGAGAAUUCAUGUGGCAGUUUGUAAUAUGCGCACUCUGAACGCAACAUUGCUUUCUUGAAUUCAGGGUAGAACGACUGCCCCCUCCCAUGGAAACCACGAAGUUCGAGUCCGUUUCCCUGUGCUUGACAUACGCAGUCUCAGCCAGGAUAGCAUGAAGUAAAAAGACUGCACCGUUUUCCACCUGCAUCUCCAUCCCGAAUCUCCCCAUUGCCCCCCAGCAACAUUAGCCUACAUUUAGGCCAUUGCUUAUGUAUGUCACACUAUGUUGAGGUAAAGAUCGGAGUAUAAUGCUGUAUAGAUGUCAACCCCAAUACAUGUUCAUGACAUCGUCAUCAAUCAACUGCAUUACAGUUAAAAACUACUGACUACCACCACCUAUUUCUAUAUGCUAACUAUGCUACCAGUUUAUACGAAUGGGAGUUAUCAUUUAGCAGUCACUUUUUCCCGAACCUGAAAAGUGACAACUGCUACAUUUUAUGCAGUGAAAACACCCAUAUAUAUCAAAAUCUGAUUUUAGUAACCACAUUGUGGGCCUGUUACAAUACAUCAAUCAUGAUGGAUUUGACAAAUAUCCACUCUGUUAGAUCAGAUUUGUUGAAUGUACGCCAAUCCAGCGUCCUAUCCCCCAUGGUCUGCUACCAUUGACCUCUUUACCACAUCUAUCCCAAUGACAUAUAUACACUGCUCAAAAAAAUAAAGGGAACAUUAAAAUAAAACAUCCUAGAUCUGAAUGAAUGAAAUAUUCUUAUUAAAUACUUUUUUCUGUACAUAGUUGAAUGUGCUGACAACAAAAUCACACAAAAAUGAUCAAUGGAAAUCAAAUGUAUCAACCCAUGGAGGUCUGGGAUUGGAGUCACACUCAAAAUUUAAGUGGAAAACCACACUACAGGCUGAUCCAACUUUGAUGUAAUGUCCUUAAAACAAGUCAAAAUGAGGCUCAGUAGUGUGUGUGACCUCCACGUGCCUGUAUGACCUCCCUACAAUGCCUGGGCAUGCUCCUGAUGAGGUGGCGAAUGGUCUCCUGAGGGAUCUCCUCCCAGACCUGGACUAAAGCAUCCGCCAACUCCUAGACAGUCUGUGGUGGAUGGAGCGAGACAUGAUGUCCCAGAUGUGCUCAAUUGGAUUCAGGUCUGGGGAACGGGCGGGCCAGUCCAUAGCAUCAAUGCCUUCCUCUUGCAGGAACUGCUGACACACUCCAGCCACAUGAGGUCUAGCAUUGUCUUGCAUUAGGAGGAACCCAGGGCCAACCGCACCAGCAUAUGGUCUCACAAGGGGUCUGAGGAUCUCAUCUCGGUACCUAAUGGCAGUCAGGCUACCUCUGGCGAGCACAUGGAGGGCUGUGCGGCCCCCCAAAGAAAUGCCACCCCACACCAUGACU